This 450-nucleotide ribosomal RNA is filed under the name uncultured bacterium. Its description in RNAcentral is "partial 16S ribosomal RNA". It matches the Rfam family "Bacterial small subunit ribosomal RNA", at positions 354 to 796 of the family's 1533-position model. The record is from RNAcentral.
GUGGGGAAUAUUGGACAAUGGGCGAAAGCCUGAUCCAGCCAUGCCGCGUGUGUGAAGAAGGUCUUCGGAUUGUAAAGCACUUUAAGUUGGGAGGAAGGGCAUUAACCUAAUACGUUAGUGUUUUGACGUUACCGACAGAAUAAGCACCGGCUAACUUCGUGCCAGCAGCCGCGGUAAUACGAAGGGUGCAAGCGUUAAUCGGAAUUACUGGGCGUAAAGCGCGCGUAGGUGGUUCGUUAAGUUGGAUGUGAAAGCCCCGGGCUCAACCUGGGAACUGCAUCCAAAACUGGCGAGAUAGAGUACGGUAGAGGGUGGUGGAAUUUCCUGUGUAGCGGUGAAAUGCGUAGAUAUAGGAAGGAACACCAGUGGCGAAGGCGACCACCUGGACUGAUACUGACACUGAGGUGCGAAAGCGUGGGGAGCAAACAGGAUUAGAAACCCCAGUAGUCC